Molecule: ribosomal RNA, 257 nt
Filed under: uncultured bacterium
Lineage: Bacteria
Description: partial 16S ribosomal RNA
Rfam family: Bacterial small subunit ribosomal RNA
Source: RNAcentral
UACGUAGGGUGCGAGCGUUGUCCGGAAUUAUUGGGCGUAAAGGGCUCGUAGGCGGUUUGUCGCGUCGGGAGUGAAAACCUUGGGCUUAACUCAGGGCUUGCUUUCGAUACGGGCAGACUAGAGGUAUGCAGGGGAGAACGGAAUUCCUGGUGUAGCGGUGAAAUGCGCAGAUAUCUGGAGGAACACCGGUGGCGAAGGCGGCAUCCUGGGUCGGUAGUUGACGCUGAGGAGCGAAAGCCAGGGGAAGCAAAGCGGGG